AUACUUACCAGGCAGGGGAGAUAUCAUAAUCAUGAAGGUAGUUUUCCCAGGGUUGCACCCUGGAUGUGCUGAUUCCUGUGAUUUCCCCAAAUUCAGGAAACUUGACUGCAUCAUUUGUGUGAGUGGGGGAGUGCAUUCACACUUUCCCCUA
Small nuclear RNA from Cavia porcellus (domestic guinea pig), 151 nucleotides. Its record names the gene U1. It matches the Rfam family "U1 spliceosomal RNA". From Rfam's summary of the family: U1 is a small nuclear RNA (snRNA) component of the spliceosome (involved in pre-mRNA splicing). Its 5' end forms complementary base pairs with the 5' splice junction, thus defining the 5' donor site of an intron. The record is from Ensembl. Lineage: Eukaryota; Metazoa; Chordata; Mammalia; Rodentia; Caviidae.